Small nucleolar RNA from Danio rerio (zebrafish), 85 nucleotides. The record is from Ensembl. NCBI's taxonomy places the organism in Eukaryota, Metazoa, Chordata, Actinopteri, Cypriniformes, Danionidae.
GUGAUGCAAAUGAUGACUGCAUAGUUCAGCAGAAUUUCCAUGUAGAACACAGAGCAAUGUCUUUCGCUCCUAGCUGAUGCAUCAC